GGGGUAACACAGGGUAAGGGUUCAUUGAAUUCAUUAUGUAUUUUGGCCCUGAGUUACCCUCCAAAUUACCCUAGAAAGUGUACGGAGGGGGUUCGAAUCCCUCCGUCUCCGCCA
Molecule: transfer RNA, 114 nt
Filed under: Microvirga lupini
Lineage: Bacteria; Pseudomonadati; Pseudomonadota; Alphaproteobacteria; Hyphomicrobiales; Methylobacteriaceae
Description: tRNA-OTHER
Source: RNAcentral